This 496-nucleotide ribosomal RNA is filed under the name uncultured bacterium. RNAcentral's name for it is "partial 16S ribosomal RNA". It matches the Rfam family "Bacterial small subunit ribosomal RNA", at positions 29 to 507 of the family's 1533-position model. The record is from RNAcentral.
AUGCACGCUGGCGGCGUGCCUCAUACCUGCCAGUCGAGCGAACGGACGAGAAGCUUGCUUCUCUGAUGUUAGCGGCGGACGGGUGAGUAACACGUGGAUAACCUACCUAUAAGCCUGGGAUAACUUCGGGAAACCGGAGCUAAUACCGGAUGAUAUUUUGAACCGCAUGGUUCAAAAGUGAAAGACGGUCUUGCUGUCACUUAUAGAUGGAUCCGCGCUGCAUUAGCUAGUUGGUAAGGUAACGGCUUACCAAGGCAACGAUGCAUAGCCGACCUGAGAGGGUGAUCGGCCACACUGGAACUGAGACACGGUCCAGACUCCUACGGGAGGCAGCAGUAGGGAAUCUUCCGCAAUGGGCGAAAGCCUGACGGAGCAACGCCGCGUGAGUGAUGAAGGUCUUCGGAUCGUAAAACUCUGUUAUUAGGGAAGAACAUAUGUGUAAGUAACUGUGCACAUCUUGACGGUACCUAAUCAGAAAGCCACGGCUAACUACGUG